Molecule: long non-coding RNA, 320 nt
Filed under: Elaeis guineensis (African oil palm)
Lineage: Eukaryota; Viridiplantae; Streptophyta; Magnoliopsida; Arecales; Arecaceae
Description: long non-coding RNA (EGUI_LNC021979)
Source: RNAcentral
GAGAUUGCUUCUGGAUUUGCCAAGAUUGGCCAUGUGUUUGGUGCUGGUAGGCUUUAAGGUGUGCUUUACAGAUUAUCUCACGUGACUCUAGCUAGGAAGGAUGCGAUGAAGGGCCAAAAUCCAAUGCCUCCAAUAUUGGCUAGAUGGCAGGAUUUGGCAAUUUGAUAGCCGAAUUCUCACUGUCAGUGGUCUGUAUAAAUAGACCACUCGUUCAGUCAGAUUUCUUACUAUUUAAUCAUCAAUUGCUUUUUUGUCAUUGUAGCUAUCAGGGGAAGACUCCUUCUUCCUCUUGCUGACAUCGUUUCUUUUUGGUGAUCACC